GACGAACGCUGGCGGCGUGCCUAAUACAUGCAAGUAGAACGCUGAAGGAGGAGCUUGCUUCUCUGGAUGAGUUGCGAACGGGUGAGUAACGCGUAGGUAACCUGCCUGGUAGCGGGGGAUAACUAUUGGAAACGAUAGCUAAUACCGCAUAAUAGUAGAUGUUGCAUGACAUUUGCUUAAAAGGUGCAAUUGCAUCACUACCAGAUGGACCUGCGUUGUAUUAGCUAGUUGGUGAGGUAACGGCUCACCAAGGCGACGAUACAUAGCCGACCUGAGAGGGGGGUCGGCCACACUGGGACUGGGACCCGGCCCCGACUCCUACGGGAGGCAGCAGUAGGGGAUCUUCGGCAAUGGACGGAAGUCUUACCGCGCAACGCCGCGUGAGUGAAGAAGGUUUUCGGGUCGUAAAGCUCUGUUGUUAGGGAAGAACGAGUGUGAGGGUGGAAAGUUCACACUGUGACGGUAUCUUACCAGAAAGCGACGGCUAACUACGUG
This 495-nucleotide ribosomal RNA is filed under the name uncultured bacterium. RNAcentral describes it as "partial 16S ribosomal RNA". It matches the Rfam family "Bacterial small subunit ribosomal RNA", at positions 28 to 507 of the family's 1533-position model. The record is from RNAcentral.